This 525-nucleotide unclassified non-coding RNA is filed under the name Hevea brasiliensis (rubber tree). The record is from RNAcentral. Lineage: Eukaryota; Viridiplantae; Streptophyta; Magnoliopsida; Malpighiales; Euphorbiaceae.
GCGGUAUUGCCGGCGACUUCACCUAUUAUAGAAAUAGGGAGAAAAAAGUCAAAUAACUUGGCUCAAAGUGUAAACCACACAGGUAUUAUAUGAUGGGUCAUAACCAAUCAACAAACUUGGUAAGAGUUUCAUUCAAUGACUUAAAAACCAUAUAUCAUUUUCACAAAGUUAUUGGAUCCUACCAGCAUCAUAAGAGCUCAGUAUAGUUCAUCAGGGAAUGUUGCUGAUAGGAAAAUGAAAUACCUAUGAGCAAGUGCCAAGUCUAUAACUAAACUAAGUUAGAAAAUAUUGUAUGAACUUUUAAACUGGACUUGUGUGUCCUUAAAAUGCUAGCAAACUUUUCAGAACAUAUAUAAUCUGCAGCCAUGUUCAACAACAACACAAUCCCUGCACCACAAGGAUAAGAAAGGGGGUGGAAGAGAAGAGAAAAGAAAGUAGAAAGCCUCGGUAUCUCUUCAAGAUUGUCAUGAAAGUUACGCAAUUCAAAUGAAAAUUAAAGUACAAACCUGGUUCUUGUUAGCAUCA